Danio rerio (zebrafish) is the source of this 131-nucleotide microRNA precursor. The record is from Ensembl. Lineage: Eukaryota; Metazoa; Chordata; Actinopteri; Cypriniformes; Danionidae.
GACAGAAAAAGAGAUAUUUUGAAAAAUGUUGUAAGCCGGUAACCAUUGACCUCCAUAGUAUUUGUUUUCCCUGUUAUGAAGGUCAAUGGUUACCAGUUUUCAGCUUUCUUCUGAACAUCAUCUUUUUUGUU